Molecule: long non-coding RNA, 3742 nt
Filed under: Lytechinus variegatus (green sea urchin)
Lineage: Eukaryota; Metazoa; Echinodermata; Echinoidea; Temnopleuroida; Toxopneustidae
Description: uncharacterized LOC121407672, transcript variant X1
Source: RNAcentral
UUUUACCCCAGAACGCCUCCAAGCUAGUCCAGAGUAGGUCUAAGCCAAGGGGUUCAAGAUUUUUGCCACCCUUUGACAUCAAAAUGUUUGUCCACAGCCCUGGAAAAAUGGGUAACUCGGCCACCAGGUGGCUGGGAAAUCUUUGCAGCUAUAGGGAAAUUUUGAUAUUUGGAGGAAAAUUAACAGCGUUGCCAGAAGGCAGAUGUACGAUAAUUAUUCUUAUUUGUAGUUUUGUACGAUAAUUUUGCCUUUAUGAUGUAGGAUGGGGGGUGCGAUGUCCGGACACUUAACAAAAAUUAAGCCUAGUUUUUCGUCUAAGGAUUAAGCCAAAAAUGUAUGUUGAAUACUUAUCACCAUCAAUAUUUGUUCUCCACAAUAUUUUCUGACAUUUUGUGCUGAAAAACUUCAAAGAUAAUUCCACUGAAAAAAUGGUUAAAUGUACGAUAAUUUCGCCAUUUUCGUAUUUUCAUCAUUUUCGUAUUUUCAUGACUUGUGCUGAAGAAAUUUAAGCUAUUUUAGCAUUUUAAAUCCCUCAUUCAUGCUCCAAAACUCGGCACUUGCGCUCGUCGUGCAAGUAGGCCUAUUCCAAUUUGCAUUUCCCACAGUUAAGGUUCUUCAGUUCACUCGAACAUGUAAAAAUUGUGUUACAUUUUGCACGCGCGCAUUUCUUCAUGUGGGUGCGUCAACGCGCGCGUAUUUCUGUACGUGCUGCGUGUAUUAAAAGUAUUGUAUGGUAGAUGUUCAUGAGUCCACGCGGGUCAUUAGUCCACGCGCCCUCGAAUACGCGCAUGCGACGCGAUAUAUGCCCUAAAUUUCUUGGACAGUCUAGAAAACAACAAGCCUAUUAGAGAUAUGACAGAAACUUUCAAGAAAAAUCAUUGGUUUCUUGUAUUUUUAUGAUUUAACUCAUAUACGACCAAAUUUAUUCAUUGUGAGAAAACUAGGGCUUCCCCUGACCUCAGACAGGUACCAGAAGAAAGAGCGAAAAUUGACCAAUCAGGAGAUACCUUUCAUAUUGCCGAAAAAAAAUCCCUCGCAAACUUAUUGAAUUUAGAAGUGCUCUUAUUGGAUAUUUCAUUCCAAGACCGUACGAGCCUGCCAAUUGUUUGUUUUGUUACCUAGCUACAAGAGUAGCGCGCUCUGCAAAAGGGGAAACCCCCAAGCUAUCGAUAGCGAUAUCGCGAUCAUGUUUUCCCCACGCAGCCAUUUUUCCCUGCCGCGUGCGAUUUGCAGAAAAAGUAACUGCACUUUUAGGUCUAUUUUGACAUGUUUUCCUCACAACAGUCGCGAUUGAAAUAUUUUGAAAGGAUUAAUUCAAAUUGUAUUUGUAAUCCCAGGAUAUACCUUCGUAUUUUUUGCUCUGUGAUAUUUUUUGGUAUUGACAAGUACAGCACCCCUGGUUAGAUCUAGCAUGCAGCAAUGGCUUUGUCAGUCAGAAAAAGUAUGAUUCAUCUGAUUCUGACCUAGAUUUCAAGCGAAAGAAGUGUCUCAGGCUGCCUGAUGAUGAAUCUGAUUCAGACAUUGGCAUGGAAAAGAAAAAGAAGCGUCUGAUGCAGUCAAAGAAAAAGAAGCGUCCGAUAGUGUCAGAUAGUGAUUGUGAUUCAGACAUUGAUUUGGAUGAAGAAAGAAAGAAAAAAAAGAAACAUCUGAUGCGGUCAGAUGAUGGUACUAAGCAAAAACGGCGAUGGUCACAAAAGGAGUUGGAGGUAUUUAGUAAGAACGUUGCAGUUUACAUUGAAAGAAAGGUCAUGGCUCCAAGGAUUGUUCUUGACAGGGUUGUUGAGCAACUGGCUCAUUCAAGGACUGUUGCUCAAAUAAGAUCAAGAGCAAACAAUAUGAUAAAGGAGAAACAAGUAUUUAUACUGUAGCUAGUCCAGUUUUGUUCAACACUACAAAACAAAACCCAGGUUGUUAGAGUGUUCUGGUCAAAAUACUAAGAAAAAUUUAAUUAAAUAAUUUUAAAGAGAUCAUUUAUUAUUUUAACUGAUGUCCAUAAGAACUUGUUUUUUCGCAAAUUUUCUCUAUUUUCGGCAAAAUUUUAGACAACUUUAGAAAAUUUUGGAAAAUGUGGGCCUUAAAAACGGGAAUUUGGCCAAAAGUAUACCCUUAAGAACUGAAUUUUUUUCAAAAUUAUCAAAAAGUAUAACCUUAGGAGCGAUUGGGAAGAUCUGGGAAGGACAAAAAAGACACCCAUUCGCGCCGAACAUACAUAUACCACCCAAUAUGUUGAGUACUUUGUGACCACAAGGGUAUAAUUAUUAUUGUAUGGUAUCAUAUUUUAUUACCACAUUUUUUUUUGACUAGAAGUUGUUUAGUCUAUAUACGACACCAUUUCAGGUUUUAAGCAGGUUUCACUGACAAAGUGUGUAAAAAAUCACAGCAGAGUAAUUAUAGCCAUGCUAUACAUCAAAAGUACGUUUUCUAGGGUAAAAAUGGAUGUAGAUUGUGAAUUUUUAGUCCAAAACCUUGUUUAUACAGCAUUUAGCCACAAAUCGUGGAUUUAUGGCCAAUUUUGCCCGAAAACGGCACUUUUUCAGUGACAAAAAAAUUUACUUCCUAUCUUUAAAUACCUGUAGGCUCAACAAUAUGCAUACAUAUGGCCAUUUUUAAUGUUUCUGUAUCAGCCCAGUAAACAGUCUGAUGGAUUCUUUUAUUUGUUUUGAAAUUGGUUUCAUACUUUUUGUGCAACAGCCAUUCAAAAAUGAUGCAUCCUGUGACAAUUGACUUUCAAAAUUUAGCAGUUUCGGACAAAAAAAUUGAUUUGAAAAAUCAUAUCUCUUCAGUCCAAGGGGCUACAUUAAUAAUUUACAUACCAAAAUAUGCAGAAUUUAAUAAGCUUUAAUUUGGUGCCUAAUUUAAUGUAUUUCUGGGAGGAGAAUGAUAUAAAAAUGAUAAAAAGUUAUUCCCACUCCCUAAUUUUUUAAUUUGUGUAAAAAAUAAAGAAAUUUACAAAACGGGCAAGUAUGCCAAAGUAUAGGACCUAUAGGCUUGAAAAUUUAAUCAGUUAUGCCCAUUAUAAGUCUCUACUUGGGCAUAGGAUAAAUUGUUUAAUAUUUCAACUAUUUCUUUCUAUUUAUAUUUUUUUAAAGAUUUUUGUCAUCCAAAAUUUAGACAAAAAUUUGCCAUUUUGAGGGCUCAUUAAAAAAAAUUACAAGGCCAAUAUGGUUGAAAAGUUAAUGAGUAAUUCCCAGAAAAUAUUACUACAAGGUAAAAUUCACAAAAUUGGCAAAAUGCUCAUAUUUCUUUUGAAUUAUUUUUUUUUACAAAGUUAGUGACAAUCCUCAGAAGGUAUUGUGCAAUCAUAAGCCAGUAUUGCGCAAUCGUUCAACCAAAAUGCUGUUUAGACACAUACUAGCUGUCAAUUUUGCAAAAGAACAUAAUUUAUAAUCUCAAAAAAGCAAUUAUGUUGAUUUUGAAGAGCCCUUACAAGCAAAAAAGACUGAUAUGUGAUAUUUUGGUUUUCUUUGCAUACAGCUUUAAGCACACCCAUAUUACAUAAUACCCGUAUCACAAAAAGGGUUCAAGAUUUUGCAUUUCCAACUUCAGAAAUUAAUUUUACACUAAAUUUCAGUCUAGAAAACAUAUUUAACAUCCUUUGUUUUGAAACUUUAUAUUUUUGGAUUUUUGUCAGUCAAACCUGCUUAAAAUCUGAAAGCGUGUCAUACAGUACAAUGUAGAGAACUCACAAACUUACACUUCAGUUUUAAUAAUCGAUUUCAAAUUUUAGAACACUGUUAGUCUG